Molecule: RNA transcript, 3891 nt
Organism: Lagenorhynchus albirostris (white-beaked dolphin)
Lineage: Eukaryota; Metazoa; Chordata; Mammalia; Artiodactyla; Delphinidae
Exons: 4
Source: RefSeq, a predicted model, not a curated record
UUUGCACUUUUGCAUAAAUUACUCAGUUUGUUGGCUGUCACGCCUCCAUAGGUUUUCUGUCUGAUUAUAUAAAAUCAGGAUAACUCGGGACUAACCAGAGAAAUGAUUCCAAGCAACCAUGAUGUAUUUGCCUUUAAAAGGCCAGUGGUUCUUAAAAAUGGGGAUUCUGGGUCAGCCUGUAGCAGAAUUACCUGUGGGGCCUGUUGAGAGUGCCUGUUUUUGACAAACCUACCAAGCUAAAAUCAAAUCAGUCCUAUAUUUUGAAAAGGUAACUAUAAUCAAAAGAAAUGUUCUCCUUUUUUGAGAUACUGAAACUGCAAUGAAGAGCUUGUCUCUUAAAAUAGUUAUGAGAAAAAAAAAUAGUUAUGAGAAAUGCCAUAAUAUCAGGCUCCACAUUUAUGGGAUGUUUUUUAUGAAACCCAGAUCAAUAUUUUAACAAGACUUGAGGAAUGCAAAUAUUAAUAGGCUAUCUAGCAUGAACAGAUGUAAAUAGGAGUGUAUUUGAGCAACCAUGGUUUUUUAAGGGAGCUAGGAAUUUACAGUGCAAUCCUACAGGGAAAGAAGGGAGAGAAAACUGCUAUUUUGAGCUGCACACAGAUGAACUGCAUCACAUCUGAGCUUUGAUAGUCCCCUCUCCUCACUAUUCUUGUUGCACAGGAAAACUACAUGAUUAAAGGUAACUUGAUGUAAAAAAGAUACUUAACUGUAUAAGUCAGGGAAUCAUGAUAACCACUUUCCAAGAUUAGGGGAGUGUGUGGGUGUGUGUGGGUGGGUGUGUGUGUGUCCGGGGUGGGUUCACCUGGCCAGAGGAGUUAAAAUAACAAUGGGAUUAACAAUGUUCAAGAAAAUUUGUAUCAAAAAGGAAGUUAUUUGUCUGCAUGAUGGGUUCAACAUAAACAAUCUGAUACUGCUACCCAAGUGACCCUCUUUGGUAGGCUUUAAAAAUUUUUUUUAACAGUUACAUUAGUAAUCUGUGAACCCAACCAUUAACUGGAAAAUAGUCGAGGGGAAUCCAGGUGCAAAAAGCAGGUUCUUUGUACUUAAGGAAUACAGCUUCAAAACACCUCCAAAGUAUGGAUUAAAAUAGCAAUUCACCUUAUCACCUACCCCGGACUAAGAGCCCCACCUAUAAGACUUCCCCUGAUUCCCCAGGGAAGAGGGUCACAGUUCUUGAGGUGCUGUCAUGCUGUUUUCCCGUUUCCCUGGCAAAGAUAAAGCUAUUGUUUUUUUCCUCAAAAAAAAAAAAUCCUCAGAAUCCUUCCUUUUCUGAUGGUUUCAUGGAACCAAAUUAUUUAUGGUAAGAUUCUUUUGUUUCAAGCUCCCAGAAAGUAAGCUUAAAUGGCCUUAACCUGAGUUUUCUCCAGAGAUACUUCCCUCGAUCCCAAAGACAUAGAGAUUGAUUUUGUGCCGUGACCUUUUGACAGCCCCAUAAAGCCUAUGAUCCCUUCUCGGCAUGCUGUAAAUGUGCUUUACGUAGUGCACACACAACUCUGAAUUCUAUCUGCGGACUCCUGGUUAGAAAUCCUUUGACAGGGGUCACAAUUAUGAGAAGGCUACGUAAUGAGGCGUGUAACUGCUGUUACCCCAGCACCCUGUUCUGGAACCCCUUCUCUCAACUGACUUCGGAGAAACUAGCUCGCUUCAAAGUGGCUGAGGUGAGAAGCCACAGUGGGGAAUUUUUCUUUAGUUGGAAACGGAAAGAGAAAGAAGUUAGCCCUCUUCAGUCUGACCAGUCUAGAGGAGGGAGAGGUUCUGUCACCCAGUUUUGGCCUUUUGUGGAAAUAGCCCCUUUCACUGUAUACAUGAUAAACGGGCUUAAUCAUAACUAUGGACACACCCAAGACCCCCUUUCUCUUCAUCGAGAUCUCGCUCGCUCUUGGUGGGGCGGUAUUUGCCCUCAUGACCUCUACCAAGCCGUCCAAACAUUGGCUUCCCCGUCUGGAAGAGCGAGCUGUGAGUGUCUGCGCAGCAGAUUUAGGCUCGAGGCCUGGCCGUCGGCCCAAACGAGUCGGUACCUGGAGUUUUCGUCAGGGUGGCCGGCUAGCCAGCGCCGUCAAGAGCGUAAGCGGCCCGCUUCCUGCGUCGCAGGGGCACCGCCCUCGCGGCCGGGGGAGGGGUCGGCGCCAGAAAGCCGCUCUCCCCUCCCCAGAGCCUUCCUGGCGGCCGGCGGCCAGCAGUACUGCAGGGCCGGAGGCGGGGAGGGCCGUCCCGCGCAGCCGCUGCGCCGCUGGAGUAGCCGCCCCGCCCGCCUCGUCGCGGAGGAGCCCCAGAAACGCACUUCCACCGCGGCCGAGCCCACUUCCGCCUGCUGCUUCCUGGGGCCGCCAGGCCUGAGCUUUAGCUUCUCCGGAAUUCAUUAUCCUGCUUAACACCCUGUAAAGCCAUCCUCUCCUCGUUCUUUCCAAAACCCGUAUAAUGCCGCUUCCACUUCGUGGCGCACACUGCUCAAACUGAACCCGGCGCAACCGCCAUCUUCGGAAAUGCUGGUAGCUGUCGGGAAAAUGGAGAUGAAUGAAGAGCUAGACAGGCCUCUUCCCAGGUUACCCUACCCUUUCCAGGUUACUCUUCCCUUUCCCUUCACACUCUUCACUUUGCCCUUCAACAGGCAGGGCAAAGAGAAAUUUGAAAACCUGGCUGAAAGGCACUUUGAAUAGAAAUCAGUAGAGACAAAUUACAAAUUGCUCAGUAUAAAGCAUGAGGGUUUUGUUUUUGUUUUUAAUUGAGGGGCUAAAAAUACAGCUGCUUAAUUGUCAUAAACUGCAUCGUACUCUUUCUGGGAUGGCCUUUUGGCUUGAGUCCGUUACUGAUUAUGUAUCUUGUAGCACUGUGGGAACUGCAUUAUCAGAACAGUUUUAAAGUCACAGCUUGCGUAUUUGGUGCCCUCUAGUGCACUAUUUUCAAAUGACAAAAGCAUAGUUUAUCGGUGCCAAGCUGUUAACUGAAGAGGAUAAAAUGUACAUUUCAAUCCACCUUCCCAGUGUGAUUGAUCUUCUUUUCCUGACAUCCAAAGACACUGAUUCCUCUCUGCACAUACACAUUAUUUCAUAUCAUGACACUCACUAGGCUGUGACCUUGCACUAACUAGUUCCUUCAUCUCUGGGCUUCAAUUUCCUCAUCUGUAAAACGAGGAUGAUAAUCGUCAGAACUGUAAUGUGGACGCCCUGCACACACGGGGGGCGCACUCACUGCUAGCUAUCUUUUUUUUACAUUUAAUAGAUCAGUCGAUACUAAACAUGCUUGAAGACAGUAAUCAAUCUUGACUCAGGUAUCAUAAUCUGGUGGUUGGGGAAUGUGAAGAACGUUAAUGAGUAGCUUAAAAGAUAAAGAACAGAAGUCUAGGUGUGAUUCUCAUCUCUGAUCCCAUGUUACUGAGUCAGUUCAUUCCAAUUCUCAAGUCUGGAAGCAUGGUAAAUUUCUCUGCAUCCUUCACAGUACCUGUAAUUACAUACCCUUAAGAAAUAUUUGUCUUGUUUUAAUGUUCAAGGUAAAUGGUGUUCUGGUUGAACCUAGAAAAUACAGAAAAUGCUGAAUGAUAGAAAAUAGUUAGUUUAAAGGUUUAAAGAUUUGGAUUCAAACUUGUUUUGUAAGCCAGAGGUUUCAAAUGCCUCUUUCUGGAUUUAGUGUGGUUUCUCAGUGGGCUGUGGACAGUUUCUCUGUUAUCAGGGUACAGUGUGAAGGCAUGACUGACUCUGGAACCCAUGUGAAUCAGCAUUUACAAAUCGAUAAGAGGAGACCUUAUCUAGUUUUCCUGCAUUGACAGACUUGGACUUUGAUGCUUAACUUCACUACCUCCUAGAUUCCCCAAGAGCCCAGUUACCUGAAGAAAGCACUGGGUGCUUCUGACCCCGUGAAUGCCUCUGGAGUCUUUGGUCUUGUAUGUAAUAAAUGUCC